This 63-nucleotide transfer RNA is filed under the name bovine gut metagenome. It matches the Rfam family "tRNA", at positions 5 to 66 of the family's 71-position model. Rfam says of the family: Transfer RNA (tRNA) molecules are approximately 80 nucleotides in length. Their secondary structure includes four short double-helical elements and three loops (D, anti-codon, and T loops). The record is from RNAcentral.
CCGUAGUUCAAUGGAUAGAGCGUCAGCCUCCGGAGCUGAAGAUAUGGGUUCAACUCCCGUCGG